UUUAUACUCCCUCCAUCCAGAAAUACUUGCCGGUGAAAUGGAUGUAUCUAGACGUAUUUUAGUUCUAAAUACAUCCAUUUUUAUUCAUUUCUUCGAGAAGUAUUUUCGGACGGAGGGAGUAGAAC
This is a non-coding RNA of Triticum aestivum (bread wheat), 125 nucleotides long. The record is from Rfam. NCBI's taxonomy places the organism in Eukaryota, Viridiplantae, Streptophyta, Magnoliopsida, Poales, Poaceae.